GCCCGGGUAGCUCAGUCGGUAGAGCAGAGGAUUGAAAAUCCUCGUGUCGGUGGUUCGAUUCCGCCCCCGGGCACCA
This 76-nucleotide transfer RNA is filed under the name Gammaproteobacteria bacterium. RNAcentral describes it as "tRNA-Phe". It matches the Rfam family "tRNA". Rfam says of the family: Transfer RNA (tRNA) molecules are approximately 80 nucleotides in length. Their secondary structure includes four short double-helical elements and three loops (D, anti-codon, and T loops). Further hydrogen bonds mediate the characteristic L-shaped molecular structure. tRNAs have two regions of fundamental functional importance: the anti-codon, which is responsible for specific mRNA codon recognition, and the 3' end, to which the tRNAs corresponding amino acid is attached (by aminoacyl-tRNA synthetases). tRNAs cope with the degeneracy of the genetic code in two manners: having more than one tRNA (with a specific anti-codon) for a particular amino acid; and 'wobble' base-pairing, i.e. permitting non-standard base-pairing at the 3rd anti-codon position. The record is from RNAcentral. Lineage: Bacteria; Pseudomonadati; Pseudomonadota; Gammaproteobacteria. RNAcentral also lists the same sequence under 2 other names.